This 157-nucleotide long non-coding RNA is filed under the name Sus scrofa (pig). RNAcentral describes it as "lncRNA (ENSSSCG00070014897.1)". Lineage: Eukaryota; Metazoa; Chordata; Mammalia; Artiodactyla; Suidae. The record is from RNAcentral.
GUCUAGCGCUCAUUGUAAAGCAUAUUUUGAUACUGGGUGGCUUGUGUUCCUGAACAGCCCUGCCCAUUUGAAACCUCCCACAUUAUAACAGCACAUGGGCUUUCUUUUUCAAACAAAAUGGAAGUAGUUUCUCCCAACUGGAGCACCCUGAUAAAAC